This 363-nucleotide transfer-messenger RNA is filed under the name bacterium. RNAcentral describes it as "CAADGG01 sp900696485 Standard tmRNA". It matches the Rfam family "transfer-messenger RNA". Rfam says of the family: Bacterial tmRNA, also known as 10Sa RNA or SsrA, is named for its dual tRNA and mRNA-like properties. Its role is to liberate the mRNA from a stalled ribosome. The record is from RNAcentral. RNAcentral also lists the same sequence under 1 other name.
GGGGGCGAUCGGCUUCGACGGGUGGUCGAAGGGAAACGCUGCGUGCCGACGUCGUCACAUUCGUCGCUAAACAGGUGGCACCGUUGGUAGUAACAACUGCCGACUCUGACUACGCACUCGCGGCCUAGCCGAAACUAGGUACGCGACGACCGUCCCCGACGCCUUCUAGGGGGUCGCGGUCGUCAUCAGAGGGCUGGUCGCCGGCGUCCUGUCUGGCCGCGCCGGCGACGAGAAACAGGCCGGGCUGGGUGCGGCUCUCCUGCUUUCGUGACCUGUCGCACCGAGAUCGAACGGAAGCUACGCCCGUAGACGCGUUUUCUGGACAUCAUUCGGACCCGGGUUCGAUUCCCGGCGCCUCCACCA